GAUGAACGCUGGCGGCGUGCCUAAUACAUGCAAGUCGAACGCACAGCGAAAGGUGCUUGCACCUUUCAAGUGAGCGGCGAACGGGUGAGUAACACGUGGACAACCUGCCUCAAGGCUGGGGAUAACAUUUGGAAACAGAUGCUAAUACCGAAUAAAACUUAGUGUCGCAUGACACAAAGUUAAAAGGCGCUUCGGCGUCACCUAGAGAUGGAUCCGCGGUGCAUUAGUUAGUUGGUGGGGUAAAGGCCUACCAAGACAAUGAUGCAUAGCCGAGUUGAGAGACUGAUCGGCCACAUUGGGACUGAGACACGGCCCAAACUCCUACGGGAGGCUGCAGUAGGGAAUCUUCCACAAUGGGCGAAAGCCUGAUGGAGCAACGCCGCGUGUGUGAUGAAGGCUUUCGGGUCGUAAAGCACUGUUGUAUGGGAAGAACAGCUAGAAUAGGAAAUGAUUUUAGUUCGACGGUACCAUACCAGAAAGGGACGGCUAAAUACGUG
This 497-nucleotide ribosomal RNA is filed under the name uncultured bacterium. Its description in RNAcentral is "partial 16S ribosomal RNA". It matches the Rfam family "Bacterial small subunit ribosomal RNA", at positions 28 to 507 of the family's 1533-position model. The record is from RNAcentral.